This is a non-coding RNA of Meleagris gallopavo (turkey), 4262 nucleotides long. The record is from RefSeq and is a predicted model, not a curated record. Lineage: Eukaryota; Metazoa; Chordata; Aves; Galliformes; Phasianidae.
CUUGCCUCAGGUGAUCAAUCAGUGGUUCAGGCCGUGACUCCACAGUUCCCAUACACAGGCAUUUAAGCAAUGGGUGCUUUUACAGCUACGGUUUUGCACGUAACACUGCUGUUGGAGGGGAUUGCCAAGCCUUUGUUUUGUCACCAAGGUAGCUUUUCCUCCUUGUACUAACUUUCCCCAGAUACUCUGGACCGUGACUUUAGUUUUAGCGCUUUUAGAGGAGUUUUAAAAAAGCAUGUUAAACUUUCUUGUAUUAAAAUGGGUCGGCUAAUAUGCUUUCUUGCACUAAAUAACUAUAAAAACAUCAAAGGUUUGGAUAACUGUUAGCUGUGUAUUUUGUAAUGCCUAUUGUAUUUCCAUUUUGUUAGCUCUAUUUAAAGAGCGGUAUUAUCAUGCCCCAUUUCCUGUUAGAUAGUUCUAUUUGUCUGCACUACAGGAGGCAGGAGAUUUUAGGUCCAGAAGAAAUUAUCUCUCAGUAAAUUACUCCUAACUCCAUUACUGAAUACUAAGCACUCUCCCCUGGCUGUGCGAGCAGCUUGAAGAGAUAACAUUGCAAUUUAUUUAUUUGUUUUGUCCCACGUAUAUAGGUGACACACGGACUCAUCUGAGCAGAGACAGCGAUAACUGACAGGUACAUUAGAUCAGACACAUAUAGCAAAGUUUACUUUGAUUAUGUAGUAAGUGUGAAGACGUACGGUAGCUGAUGUCAGUUUGAUCUCUCUUAUAGUAUAUAAUGGCUUGUCUCUUUCAUGGCUGAAUGGACACUAAUUUUUGUCUAAUAGGUAAGCUAUCAGCUGAGAGUGUUUUAGAGAGUAGCCAGAGGUUUUUUUUAUCCUACUGAAAGGGAAACCAUUCGUGAAAUUAUUUUAAAAUUUGUUUGGAUUGCUUGUUGUAUUCAUUUUUCUCCUUCUCAAGUCCUCUGUUUACUCAAAGGUACUAAAGGUACAAUAUUUCUGAAGGACCUGCUGUGAAUCUAUUGCAAUGUGUAUGAGACCUUUCCAUAUUAAAAUAGUUGCAGAGAACUGAAUAUAUUCAGUCUGUUUUCAUGUGUGUCUGCCAAACUGCAAAGUCUCUGCACCACUUUUUAAAUUAUAAAGGGAAAGGAGAAGCCAUGUUCUGAUAUUAUGACCCCUUUUCUACUCCCUUCUGGGCAACGUAGGAAGGAUCUAAGACCGCAGUGUUUGUAGAUGGUAUGUUUUCUUAUAGUUGUGUGGCCAUGAUUCUGGUUCCAUUUAUGAAAAAUACCUUUUUAAAAUACAGUUUGCGAGGCGUAAUAUAACAGAUCUAUAAUGUAUUUACAUUAAAAAUUGAUAAGCUCUGGAAGGGAAGAAAAAUGUUCCGUGUGUUGUGGCACAAAGGCAAUUCCAGCAGAAACUCUUAUGAGGAGCAGUCGCUUCUAAAUUUUGGAGAUGUCCAUUUAAGAGAGGAAAAGAAAAUCAAAUUUUUGGUUACUGCAAGUGUGAUAGAAUUAUUAACAUCUCUGCACCCUGCUAUGUGUAAGCUCAUGGACUCAGGCUUAUUUCAGCAUGCUUCCCUCUUGUUUCUCACUAACAGGUUGAGCUGUUUUAGCUCUAAUUCAAGUGAUGCCGAGUGAGGUGCUAAUCCCUGGCAUGUGUGGAGCUUGUUCUUGUUCAUUGGGUUUUUUGUCUUUCUACCUAAGUCAUUACUGGUGUGUAGAACUUCUCAUGGAAAAACAUUGUGUCACUGGGGAUGACGGGGACAUGUAACAGUGAAUGGACACCACCUUGUCAAAAUCAGGAUGGAGAAGAUGUCUUUUCUUUCUGUUGGAUCCAAAUAUUCUUCCGUAAGCAAAUCUGCUGAAUGCUUCAGUUUUGAGGCUGUAAAGAAUUGUGUCAAUAUGCCUUUGCAUAUUUUUUUUUGCAAAGGGUCUGAUAGCAGAAAACAAAACAAACCUUAAUAAUAAUAAGGCUUAAUUUUAAUCACAAAAGGGGGAUGCUUUUUAGACACUUCACAGAUGUUAAAUAUUGAAAACUUCUGUUGACAUAGAAAUAUGAAUGUUUGUAUCAUUUCCUGAGGUAUCACUCUGUUUCCUUUGCCUGUCGCAUGUGAGAAGUGUACCUUGACUUGCAUUAAAUAAGUUAUUGGAGGCUACUUUCCUCUGCCCUCAGUGGGAAGGUGUUUGCUUCAGAUGAGCACUGUGGGUUUCCAGCCUUUUUCAGUUUACAGACUGGAAGGUUUCACAACUGCAAGUUUCAGAACUAACUGAGCCUGCAGAGUAGGGGCGAAGCAGUGAACUGAAGGACAUUUUCAAGUGAAUUGUGAUAUUGUCUAAUAGUGAAUUGUCCCUCUAUUUCCACUGGGCUAUGAUUGAUGUCCUUACGGUGUGACUGAAGUUCCUGUACCUUGGCUGCUGCUGGCCAGCUCAUAUAGUCACCAAGGUUGGAAAAGACCUCCAAGAUCACCUAGUCCAACUGUCCAUCUGUUAAACCUGCUAUACCAUGUCUCUUAGUACCACAUCUGCACACCACACCUCCUGGCCGUGAUCUCAACUGAAGCUCAAGACCAGCUUGUGGAAGCUGUGGUCAUUGUGGAUCUGCACCACAGAUGUGUAUUUGUCUUUAGCCAUUAGUAAUGGCCAUGUCUGUGCUAGAAACAACCAGUGGGGUUCUCUCCUGCUGUCACUUGGGCUUGGGAUGAGAAAUUGAGAUGCAGGUUGUGUUCUUGUUUUUAAAAUCAAAACUUUCCUGUACACUCUAGUAGUGCCUUGAGCUGCUCUUUUCAUGUCCUUGGUGCUGUUCGUUAGCUGUCCUUAGCAGUCCCUUCUGUUCUGCUUAGGAGAAUUGCUUGUUUGGAGACCUGGGCUCAGAGGAGUGCACUCCAUGAAUUCCCCAAGCAGAAGCCCCACUGUGUGGCUGGGAGCAGUGAGUGAAUGUCUUCCAUCUCCUCCUCUGUCCUCCAUGUGCAGCUCCCUGCUCCUUCUCUGUCUUAGUUAGAAGGUGAAAGCUUACUGUGCCACUGCUAAAACCCCAGAAAAAAGUUUUAUUGCUUCAGUCAGCAACUUCUCGACUAGAUCAGUUUGAGAACAUACCAGCAGAAGUAAGACUUAGCUGUUUCUGAUAACUUACUGAUGAGAAACCGUCUUCAAGCUCUUCUCAUACAUUAACAUGGCUGCUUGCUUCACUUAUUUUCCUGUAUUCUCUUUGGGAUAUAUAGAAAAUAAGGCUAUAAUAAUGUUGUCCUCUCUUGUCUUCUUUCACAAACAUUAAUCCCAUGAUUUUUUAUCAGUACAAAAUAACCCUGGAGAUAGGGCAGGCUGUGGAUCAGCUUGUAUGAAACUAGAAAACUGAAAUUAUUAUGCUUAAUUGUGUGUGAAAGUCAACUUUUGUCAAAAUCUCUAGCUGUGACUGGGUUCUUACAAAAUGCAAUGUAUUCUUUUCUUUAGCAGAUCACCUAAAUGCAUUUUACUAGCAACCCUUCUGAACCAGAUGAAACUGUAAUUCAAGCUGUCUUGUCUGCUUCUGCUUUAGUUCACAAUAAUGUCACUAUGCAGCUCACACCAAAGACUUAAGUUUUUAUUUGGACAGCUACAUCAAGUAUUUUGUCCUAGUUUUUCUGCAGAUCAUUAUUGAUAAGGUAGCUUCUCUAAAAUAAUAAAAUCCACAAUCUUCCAUUCUAGUGUGUGUAUAUAUAUAUAUAUUUUAAUGUAAAAGUUUUUCUACUCCAUCAGUGUGACUUUGCAGCUCAUUCCAAUCUUUCAGUGACCUCCCACCGGCCUUCGUGAAGCAGUUCCUCUCCAGCUGGAAUAGUCGGAGAUUUCCGUUCAAGGAAACAUCAGAAGAUGAAAAUGAGGGCAGUAGCCUUACUGGACCUUCAGUGGCAGCUCUGCGACCCGUGUUCCCUUGGGCCUCCUGCCCACCCCUAUAUAUGGCUUCCAUUUCCCUGCAGUAGAAAUGGUUUGGACACUUGCAAUCCUCUGCAAUGGGAGAAAUUUGCAGUGUGAGACAACUUUUGAUAAACAAGUUGAGCAGGAUUAUAACUGGACUGGAGAAGAGUUUAUAGAUGGAAAGCCUGUAAGUAGAGAAAUUCUUAUUUACCUGUUUAAAGUUAGCAGAUCUCUCUUUCCGAGUGGCAGCACAUCCAGAUUUAUCCUUCAGAAUAAGGAGGAAAGUAACUCCUAUGGUUGGCAAAUUUGCAGUGAGGACCCCAUUACAAGCUGCUGGUAUAUGUUAUAUGUUGUCUCAUAUAACUUGAAAUAAAGGAAUCACUCACACAUUCAUAAUCAAUACAAUUACCACUACUUU